GACGAACGCUGGCGGCGUGCUUAACACAUGCAAGUCGAACGCUGAAGCUUGGUGCUUGCACUGGGUGGAUGAGUGGCGAACGGGUGAGUAAUACGUGAGUAACCUGCCCUUGACUCUGGGAUAAGCCUGGGAAACUGGGUCUAAUACUGGAUACGACAUGUCACCGCAUGGUGGUGUGUGGAAAGGGUUUUACUGGUUUUGGAUGGGCUCACGGCCUAUCAGCUUGUUGGUGGGGUAAUGGCUCACCAAGGCGACGACGGGUAGCCGGCCUGAGAGGGUGACCGGCCACACUGGGACUGAGACACGGCCCAGACUCCUACGGGAGGCAGCAGUGGGGAAUAUUGCACAAUGGGCGGAAGCCUGAUGCAGCGACGCCGCGUGAGGGAUGACGGCCUUCGGGUUGUAAACCUCUUUCAGCACGGAAGAAGCGAAAGUGACGGUACGUGCAGAAGAAGCGCCGGCUGACUACGUG
Molecule: ribosomal RNA, 472 nt
Filed under: uncultured bacterium
Lineage: Bacteria
Description: partial 16S ribosomal RNA
Rfam family: Bacterial small subunit ribosomal RNA
Source: RNAcentral